CACUAUGAUCAGUUAAGAACAAUUAACACCAGUAACACGCCCGCACAUCUAUAACGGUGGAAGAUCACUAGACUUAAUAUGUGUGAGGAGAUUUUAAUUUAGGUCUCAUUUAAUUAGUUAUUACAAUGACUAAUCUAAUUGGCAUGGACUAAAUUAAACCACCAAGCAACUUUAUUCAAGACACAAAUCUAUCAAAUUAGCUAGAUAAAUGGAGAU
Molecule: long non-coding RNA, 216 nt
Filed under: Elaeis guineensis (African oil palm)
Lineage: Eukaryota; Viridiplantae; Streptophyta; Magnoliopsida; Arecales; Arecaceae
Description: long non-coding RNA (EGUI_LNC048729)
Source: RNAcentral